UACCAGCACCCCGAGUGGUCUGGACGAUUAUUGGGCCUAAAGCAUCCGUAGCCGGUUCUACAAGUCUUCCGUUAAAUCCACCUGCUUAACAGAUGGGCUGCGGAAGAUACUAUAGAGCUAGGAGGCGGGAGAGGCAAGCGGUACUCGAUGGGUAGGGGUAAAAUCCGUUGAUCCAUUGAAGACCACCAGUGGCGAAGGCGGCUUGUCAGAACGCGCUCGACGGUGAGGGAUGAAAGCUGGGGGAGCAAACCGG
RNAcentral lists this ribosomal RNA (253 nucleotides) under uncultured bacterium. Its description in RNAcentral is "partial 16S ribosomal RNA". It matches the Rfam family "Archaeal small subunit ribosomal RNA", at positions 474 to 727 of the family's 1478-position model. The record is from RNAcentral.